GGACUGGUGAGUAACGCGUGAGGAACCUGCCUUCCAGAGGGGGACAACAGUUGGAAACGACUGCUAAUACCGCAUGACGCAUGACCGGGGCAUCCCGGGCAUGUCAAAGAUUUUAUCGCUGGAAGAUGGCCUCGCGUCUGAUUAGCUAGAUGGUGGGGUAACGGCCCACCAUGGCGACGAUCAGUAGCCGGACUGAGAGGUUGACCGGCCACAUUGGGACUGAGAUACGGCCCAGACUCCUACGGGAGGCAGCAGUGGGGAAUAUUGGGCAAUGGACGCAAGUCUGACCCAGCAACGCCGCGUGAAGGAAGAAGGCUUUCGGGUUGUAAACUUCUUUUGUCAGGGAAGAGUAGAAGACGGUACCUGACGAAUAAGCCACGGCUAACUACGUGCCAGCAGCCGCGGUAAUACGUAGGUGGCAAGCGUUGUCCGGAUUUACUGGGUGU
Molecule: ribosomal RNA, 446 nt
Filed under: uncultured bacterium
Lineage: Bacteria
Description: bacterial SSU rRNA
Rfam family: Bacterial small subunit ribosomal RNA
Source: RNAcentral